CAGCAAGCCAGGAAGGAGGCUGGCAGAGUUCCCUGCAGCAGACCAGACCAUCCAGCACAGCUUUUGCAAGGUGAAUCCAGCAGUGAAGUUCAGUUCCAUCAGAUUUCAGAAUCACUAUACAAUGGAAAUCCAUUCAAGCUGUAACCUACAAACAAUUCUCAGGAGUGGAAGUGACAAGUGAGGGGAGAGAGAACUCGCUUCUGAGCGAGGAAAAUUCAGAACUGUACAAUGGUACACUCUGGUUCCGGGCUGCCGGCAAAGAAGAGGCAAAGACAGGGAGGAAGACAGAGAAAUGGCUACAGAAGACAGAAGAGAGCUCAGUGAGGAUGGCUACUUAUCUACAGGGAAAGCUCAGGCUGACUAUCCUGAACCCAGACAAUUACUUGGAAUGGAAAACUCGACUGAGGCUUGCAUUAUGAGCUGAAGGACUACAGAAGGUUACUGAGGAGACUGAACCACCAGAUGGAAGUUGAGCUGUGGAUAAAACUGCUAAAGAGGCAUGGCAACUCAAAGAUACAAAGGCUCAAGCUUUAAUCACUGCUUCUGGAGAAACACGCAGUUGGGUUUUUGAACUGAAAAUCAUCAUCAGUCUCUAUUCAGCAACAGCUAUGAAGAACAUGAAUCGGUACUAAAGAAUAGCUCUGAACAUAUGCAGAGUGCCUUUCCCUUUCACAUGAGAUCCAUAUUAUGUGUGGAAUUAAGAUGUGGAGGUUGGCAGAGAGGUUAAUGGUCCAAAGUUUCUUCAGUGGUGGUCUUAAAGAAACUGAAGAGAGAUACUUCAACCACCCCUCCUUAACCAUCACACCCAGCAUGUGGGCUGAUAUUGAAGUAUCUGGAGGGGCUAUGAAAGAUUGGUCUGUGCGGACACAUUCCAAGUAGCGUGGAAAAACAAAGGACCACAAGAAUUAUCAGUUAAUCUCAAUAAGUAUGUUGACAUACAUGGAAGUGAAUAUUGUGUAGCUGAGUUCUAAUUUUACAUUUAUAUCCCAAUUUUCCUCCAAGGAGCCCAGAGGAGUAUACAAGGUUAUGUUUAUCCUCACAACAAUCCUGUGUGGUACGUUAGGCUGAAAGAUAUGUGACUGGUCUAGAGUCACCCAGUGAAUUUCAUGGCUACAUGGGGAAUUGAACUCAAACCUCCCUGGUCCUAGAUAGGGGUGUGCACAAAACUGUCUUGCCCAGUUCAGUUUGAGUCUGAACAGGACCAGGCCAGUUCAGUUUUGGCCCCAUCAAAAAACCCUCUGGUCCAGUUUGAUUUGGGAGGGGGACUCAUUACUUUUUUAAAAAGUUUAGUACUUACCCCCUCUUGGGGGCUUCUCUUAAGCUACAUGGGGGGCGUGUCUAUGGAGGUUCCCUUCCCCCUCCCGGACUUCCUUGUUCCAAAAAGAGCCCAGUUCAGGCAUUCUUUGGCUGUUUCUUGGCAUUUCCCCCUCAUGGUGGCCAUUUUGGAGGCCACCAUGCAUGCAAAAUGGGCCUCUGCAUGGCC
This is a long non-coding RNA of Hemicordylus capensis (graceful crag lizard), 1483 nucleotides long. RefSeq lists it as uncharacterized. The transcript is spliced from 6 exons. The record is from RefSeq and is a predicted model, not a curated record. NCBI's taxonomy places the organism in Eukaryota, Metazoa, Chordata, Lepidosauria, Squamata, Cordylidae.